AGCUUGUUAGUGAGGUAAAAGCUCACCAAGGCGACGAUCUGUAGCGGGUCUGAGAGGAUGAUCCGCCACACUGGAACUGAGACACGGUCCAGACUCCUACGGGAGGCAGCAGUGGGGAAUUUUGGACAAUGGGGGCAACCCUGAUCCAGCCAUGCCGCGUGAGUGAAGAAGGCCUUCGGGUUGUAAAGCUCUUUCAGCCGGGAAGAAAACGCAUGGGUUAAUACCCUGUGUGGAUGACGGUACCGGAAUAAGAAGCACCGGCUAACUACGUGCCAGCAGCCGCGGUAAUACGUAGGGUGCGAGCGUUAAUCGGAAUUACUGGGCGUAAAGCGUGCGCAGGCGGUUUUGUAAGACAGGCGUGAAAUCCCCGGGCUUAACCUGGGAACUGCGUUUGUGACUGCAAGGCUAGAGUACGGCAGAGGGGGGUGGAAUUCCACGUGUAGCAGUGAAAUGCGUAGAGAUGUGGAGGAACACCAAUGGCGAAGGCAGCCCCCUGGGUCGAUACUGACGCUCAUGCACGAAAGCGUGGGUAGCAAACAGGAUUAGAUACCCUGGUAGUCCACGCCCUAAACGAUGUCAACUAGGUGUUGGGAGGGUAAAACCUUUUAGUACCGGAGCUAACGCGUGAAGUUGACCGCCUGGGGAGUACGGCCGCAAGGUUAAAACUCAAAGGAAUUGACGGGGACCCGCACAAGCGGUGGAUGAUGUGGAUUAAUUCGAUGCAACGCGAAAAACCUUACCUACCCUUGACAUGCCAAGAACUUUCCAGAGAUGGAUUGGUGCCCGAAAGGGAACUUGGACACAGGUGCUGCAUGGCUGUCGUCAGCUCGUGUCGUGAGAUGUUGGGUUAAGUCCCGCAACGAGCGCAACCCUUGUCGUUAAUUGCCAUCAUUUAGUUGGGCACUUUAACGAGACUGCCGGUGACAAACCGGAGGAAGGUGGGGAUGACGUCAAGUCCUCAUGGCCCUUAUGGGUAGGGCUUCACACGUCAUACAAUGGUCGGUACAAAGGGUCGCCAAGCCGCGAGGUGGAGCCAAUCCCAGAAAGCCGAUCGUAGUCCGGAUCGCAGUCUGCAACUCGACUGCGUGAAGUCGGAAUCGCUAGUAAUCGUGGAUCAGAAUGUCACGGUGAAUACGUUCCCGGGUCUUGUACACACCGCCCGUCACACCAUGGGAGCGGGUUCCGCCAGAAGUAGGUAGCCUAACCGCAAGGAGGGCGCUUACCACGGCGGGGUUCGUGACUGGGGUGAAGUCGUAACAAGGUAGCCGUAGGGGAACCUGCGGCUG
Molecule: ribosomal RNA, 1286 nt
Filed under: metagenome
Description: bacterial SSU rRNA
Rfam family: Bacterial small subunit ribosomal RNA
Source: RNAcentral